This 253-nucleotide ribosomal RNA is filed under the name uncultured bacterium. RNAcentral describes it as "partial 16S ribosomal RNA". It matches the Rfam family "Bacterial small subunit ribosomal RNA", at positions 524 to 776 of the family's 1533-position model. The record is from RNAcentral.
UACGUAGGGUGCGAGCGUUAAUCGGAAUUACUGGGCGUAAAGCGUGCGCAGGCGGUCUCGUAAGACAGGUGUGAAAUCCCCGGGCUCAACCUGGGAACUGCGCUUGUGACUGCGAGGCUGGAGUGCGGAAGAGGGAGGUGGAAUUCCACGUGUAGCAGUGAAAUGUGUAGAGAUGUGGAGGAACACCGAUGGCGAAGGCAGCCUCCUGGUCCAGUACUGACGCUCAUGCACGAAAGCGUGGGGAGCAAACAGG